AGGGUUCGAUUCUGGCUCAGAACGAACGCUGGUGGCGUGUUUUAUACAUGCAAGUCGAGCGAGGACGGUAGCAAUACCGAGCCGAGCGGCGAACGGGUGAGUAACGCGUAAGCAAUCUGCCCCCACAAUCGGGAACAACCGUGCCAACGCGCGGCUAAUGCCGGAUAUUGUAGUCUACUGCAUAGUAGGCCAACGAAAGAUUUAUUGUUGUGGGAUGAGCUUGCGUCCGAUUAGCUAGUUGGCGGGGUAAUAGCCCACCAAGGCGACGAUCGGUAGCCGGCCUGAGAGGGUGAUCGGCCACAUUGGGACUGAGAUACGGCCCAGACUCCUACGGGAGGCAGCAGUAGGGAAUAUUGCGCAAUGGGGGGAACCCUGACGCAAGCAACGCCACGUGUGGGAAGAAGCAUUUCGGUGUGUAAACCACUGUCGGAAAGGAAUAACGGAAGACUUCGGUCUUUAUGAAUGUACUUUUAGAGGAGGCACCGGCAAACUUCGUGCCAGCCGCCGC
This 508-nucleotide ribosomal RNA is filed under the name uncultured bacterium. RNAcentral's name for it is "bacterial SSU rRNA". It matches the Rfam family "Bacterial small subunit ribosomal RNA", at positions 8 to 518 of the family's 1533-position model. The record is from RNAcentral.